This 484-nucleotide ribosomal RNA is filed under the name uncultured bacterium. RNAcentral's name for it is "partial 16S ribosomal RNA". It matches the Rfam family "Bacterial small subunit ribosomal RNA", at positions 30 to 507 of the family's 1533-position model. The record is from RNAcentral.
AUUGAACGCUGGCGGCAGGCCUAACACAUGCAAGUCGAGCGGAUGAGUGGAGCUUGCUCCAUGAUUCAGCGGCGGACGGGUGAGUAAUGCCUAGGAAUCUGCCUGGUAGUGGGGGACAACGUUUCGAAAGGAACGCUAAUACCGCAUACGUCCUACGGGAGAAAGUGGGGGAUCUUCGGACCUCACGCUAUCAGAUGAGCCUAGGUCGGAUUAGCUAGUUGGUGAGGUAAAGGCUCACCAAGGCGACGAUCCGUAACUGGUCUGAGAGGAUGAUCAGUCACACUGGAACUUGGACACGGUCCAGACUCCUACGGGAGGCAGCAGUGGGGAAUAUUGGACAAUGGGCGAAAGCCUGAUCCAGCCAUGCCGCGUGUGUGAAGAAGGUCUUCGGAUUGUAAAGCACUUUAAGUUGGGAGGAAGGGCAGUAAGUUAAUACCUUGCUGUUUUGACGUUACCAACAGAAUAAGCACCGGCUAACUUCGUG